This 2921-nucleotide ribosomal RNA is filed under the name Klebsiella pneumoniae. RNAcentral's name for it is "23S ribosomal RNA". It matches the Rfam family "Bacterial large subunit ribosomal RNA". Lineage: Bacteria; Pseudomonadati; Pseudomonadota; Gammaproteobacteria; Enterobacterales; Enterobacteriaceae. The record is from RNAcentral.
GGGUUGUGAGGUUAAGCGACUAAGCGUACACGGUGGAUGCCCUGGCAGUCAGAGGCGAUGAAGGACGUGCUAAUCUGCGAAAAGCGUCGGUAAGGUGAUAUGAACCGUUAUAACCGGCGAUGUCCGAAUGGGGAAACCCAGUGUGAUUCGUCACACUAUCGUUAACUGAAUACAUAGGUUAACGAGGCGAACCGGGGGAACUGAAACAUCUAAGUACCCCGAGGAAAAGAAAUCAACCGAGAUUCCCCCAGUAGCGGCGAGCGAACGGGGAGCAGCCCAGAGUCUGAAUCAGCUUGUGUGUUAGUGGAACGGUCUGGAAAGUCCGACGGUACAGGGUGAUAGUCCCGUACACCAAAAUGCACAGGUUGUGAACUCGAAGAGUAGGGCGGGACACGUGGUAUCCUGUCUGAAUAUGGGGGGACCAUCCUCCAAGGCUAAAUACUCCUGACUGACCGAUAGUGAACCAGUACCGUGAGGGAAAGGCGAAAAGAACCCCGGCGAGGGGAGUGAAAAAGAACCUGAAACCGUGUACGUACAAGCAGUGGGAGCACCUUCGGGUGUGACUGCGUACCUUUUGUAUAAUGGGUCAGCGACUUAUAUUCUGUAGCAAGGUUAACCGUAUAGGGGAGCCGCAGGGAAACCGAGUCUUAACUGGGCGUUAAGUUGCAGGGUAUAGACCCGAAACCCGGUGAUUCAGCCAUGGGCAGGUUGAAGGUUGGGUAACACUAACUGGAGGACCGAACCGACUAAUGUUGAAAAAUUAGCGGAUGACUUGUGGCUGGGGGUGAAAGGCCAAUCAAACCGGGAGAUAGCUGGUUCUCCCCGAAAGCUAUUUAGGUAGCGCCUCGUGAACUCAUCUUCGGGGGUAGAGCACUGUUUCGGCUAGGGGGUCAUCCCGACUUACCAACCCGAUGCAAACUACGAAUACCGAAGAAUGUUAUCACGGGAGACACACGGCGGGUGCUAACGUCCGUCGUGAAGAGGGAAACAACCCAGACCGCCAGCUAAGGUCCCAAAGUCAUGGUUAAGUGGGAAACGAUGUGGGAAGGCACAGACAGCCAGGAUGUUGGCUUAGAAGCAGCCAUCAUUUAAAGAAAGCGUAAUAGCUCACUGGUCGAGUCGGCCUGCGCGGAAGAUGUAACGGGGCUAAACCAUGCACCGAAGCUGCGGCAGCGACACUAUGUGUUGUUGGGUAGGGGAGCGUUCUGUAAGCCUGCGAAGGUGACCUGUGAGGGUUGCUGGAGGUAUCAGAAGUGCGAAUGCUGACAUAAGUAACGAUAAAGCGGGUGAAAAGCCCGCUCGCCGGAAGACCAAGGGUUCCUGUCCAACGUUAAUCGGGGCAGGGUGAGUCGACCCCUAAGGCGAGGCCGAAAGGCGUAGUCGAUGGGAAACAGGUUAAUAUUCCUGUACUUGGUGUUACUGCGAAGGGGGGACGGAGAAGGCUAUGUUAGCCGGGCGACGGUUGUCCCGGUUUAAGCAUGUAGGCUGGUUAUCCGUGCAAAUCCGGAUAAUCAAGGCUGAGGUGUGAUGACGAGGCACUACGGUGCUGAAGUAACAAAUGCCCUGCUUCCAGGAAAAGCCUCUAAGCAUCAGGUAACAUCAAAUCGUACCCCAAACCGACACAGGUGGUCAGGUAGAGAAUACCAAGGCGCUUGAGAGAACUCGGGUGAAGGAACUAGGCAAAAUGGUGCCGUAACUUCGGGAGAAGGCACGCUGGUGUGUAGGUGAAGCCCCUGCGGGUGGAGCUGAGACCAGUCGAAGAUACCAGCUGGCUGCAACUGUUUAUUAAAACACAGCACUGUGCAAACACGAAAGUGGACGUAUACGGUGUGACGCCUGCCCGGUGCCGGAAGGUUAAUUGAUGGGGUUAUCCGUAAGGAGAAGCUCUUGAUCGAAGCCCCGGUAAACGGCGGCCGUAACUAUAACGGUCCUAAGGUAGCGAAAUUCCUUGUCGGGUAAGUUCCGACCUGCACGAAUGGCGUAAUGAUGGCGAGGCUGUCUCCACCCGAGACUCAGUGAAAUUGAACUCGCUGUGAAGAUGCAGUGUACCCGCGGCAAGACGGAAAGACCCCGUGAACCUUUACUAUAGCUUGACACUGAACAUUGAGCCUUGAUGUGUAGGAUAGGUGGGAGGCUUUGAAGCGUGGACGCCAGUCUGCGUGGAGCCAACCUUGAAAUACCACCCUUUAAUGUUUGAUGUUCUAACGUUGGCCCCUGACCGGGGUUGCGGACAGUGUCUGGUGGGUAGUUUGACUGGGGCGGUCUCCUCCCAAAGCGUAACGGAGGAGCACGAAGGUUAGCUAAUCCUGGUCGGACAUCAGGAGGUUAGUGCAAUGGCAUAAGCUAGCUUGACUGCGAGCGUGACGGCGCGAGCAGGUGCGAAAGCAGGUCAUAGUGAUCCGGUGGUUCUGAAUGGAAGGGCCAUCGCUCAACGGAUAAAAGGUACUCCGGGGAUAACAGGCUGAUACCGCCCAAGAGUUCAUAUCGACGGCGGUGUUUGGCACCUCGAUGUCGGCUCAUCACAUCCCGGGCUGAAGUAGGUCCCAAGGGUAUGGCUGUUCGCCAUUUAAAGUGGUACGCGAGCUGGGUUUAGAACGUCGUGAGACAGUUCGGUCCCUAUCUGCCGUGGGCGCUGGAGAAUUGAGGGGGGCUGCUCCUAGUACGAGAGGACCGGAGUGGACGCAUCACUGGUGUUCGGGUUGUCAUGCCAAUGGCACUGCCCGGUAGCUAAAUGCGGAAGAGAUAAGUGCUGAAAGCAUCUAAGCACGAAACUUGCCCCGAGAUGAGUUCUCCCUGAGACUUUAAGUCUCCUGAAGGAACGUUAAAGACGAUGACGUUGAUAGGCCGGGUGUGUAAGCGCAGCGAUGCGUUGAGCUAACCGGUACUAAUGAACCGUGAGGCUUAACCUUACAACGCCGAAG